This 532-nucleotide long non-coding RNA is filed under the name Marmota monax (woodchuck). The record is from RNAcentral. Lineage: Eukaryota; Metazoa; Chordata; Mammalia; Rodentia; Sciuridae.
AGGCAAUGUACUCUUCACAUAUAAAAUAUCACAUUUAACCUAGAAAUUCCAAAUCAAACCAUUUUAGACAACUGAAAGAAUAAAAUGGGAUGAUGACUUAGGAAACUGCUUUUUGUAAACUUUUAAGUUCUAGGUUAUUGUGAAUAAUUAAGAAUACCAGGAAAAAUACAGUUAAACUUUAUGUCUGACUCUCGGCCUUCUCCCUGAACAAUUACAGGGAAGGGGAAGAACUGUGUAUCAACUUGGAAUCAGAUUCUCUGUUUUGUGCCAUUUAAUUUAGACACUUAUUUUAAUAUAAGCACUUUUGCUUUUACUUUGGCAAUCAGCAUGCAAUUUUAAUUAGCACUUGGAACACAGCUGAAUACAUUGAUGAGGCACAAGGCAUGAAGAAAUACGUUCCUAACGGCCUGCUUGAGGACUCUGGCAGCAUUCAAAAAAGACACUCUCAAUAUAAUGUUCGAUGCUUCUGAGAAAUCAUCCUCAUUGGCAUUUAUACUCAUACGUUCAAUCAUUUCAGUGUUUUGAAAUGUCA